ACGGAGGAUCCAAGCGUUAUCCGGAUUUAUUGGGUUUAAAGGGUGCGUAGGUGGAAGAGUAAGUCAGAGGUGAAAGCUAGCAGCUUAACUGUUAAAUUGCCUUUGAUACUGCUUUUCUUAAGUAUAGUUGGCGUUGGCGGUAUGUGACAUGUAGCGGUGAAAUGCGUAGAUAUGUCACAGAACACCGAUCGCGAAGGCAGCUAACGAAGCUAUCACUGACACUGAUGCACGAAAGCGUGGGGAGCAAACAGGA
This 253-nucleotide ribosomal RNA is filed under the name uncultured prokaryote. Its description in RNAcentral is "partial 16S ribosomal RNA". It matches the Rfam family "Bacterial small subunit ribosomal RNA", at positions 525 to 777 of the family's 1533-position model. The record is from RNAcentral.